Podarcis lilfordi (Lilford's wall lizard) is the source of this 116-nucleotide non-coding RNA. The record is from the annotation of a GenBank genome assembly. Lineage: Eukaryota; Metazoa; Chordata; Lepidosauria; Squamata; Lacertidae.
AGGUGAGGCAUUGGCAGCUGCAGGUGUCAGAAAAGAUGAGCACCUGAGACCAUCUUUGCUUUGGAUCCCGGAUGCUCAUCUUUUCUGACACCUGCAGCUGCCAAUGCCUCACCUUU